ACAAAGUAUUUAAUUCACAUCACAUCACAUUAUACAAAUAAGUUAAGAGCCAAAUUGUAUUAUAAAUUGGAAUUAAAGACAAAUCAUAGUAUUAUUUAUUCCAUCUGUCAGCCAAAUCUUCUAAAUAGAAAUGACAAUAAAAAAUAUCACAGACUCAAGUUUGACACAAGAAUAAAUAAGACGAAAAGUAAUAUUUAGAUAACUAAAAGACCACUUAUGUUGUCCUGAUGAUUGCAAUGUAUGAUUAAAUAACUAUCUUUCUUUCACAAAAUGAUGGCCUUCAUGCACCAUCAGGUUGGACUGAUUUGCUUGGUGAGUUGCUUGAGCCCUUAAAAGAAAUCCAAUCAGGUUAUCCAUCUCAUGUUGCUUCUUUUGCCAGGCUUAUUAUUCUCUUGUUGGCUCCUCUUUACAUCUCUUUAAAUUCUCUAUCUUGUGCUUCAUGUCUCGCGGCUAAAUCCUCCUGGUGCCUAUAAAUUGAUGAAGCAUAACAACGUGUUGCACCUUAAUGAGAUGAAAACAUAUAGAUAACAAGGUAUAAGAGUACCACUAAGAAACAUACAAUCUAUCGAAUUUUGAAUCUGAGUACAUUAUUAACAAGAUUUGCGGGUAUGUGGAUGGGUCAAUAAAACAUUAAGUUAGUUUAGCGGAACAAGAAGACACAAACUUGUAUAAAAAAUUGCCAUUCAAAAUAUUUUACAUGGAUCACUGCUGCACUUAUAACUAGUGUACCACUUACAGUUUAAGUAGCAUCUGAAUGACUAGUGAGGGCACUAGGGAAGGCAGAUGGUAAUGCACUAUAGUGAUCUGCUGAAGAUAUUUCAUAGUUAGUUGCAUAAGUAUAGUUGUUUGACGCUUUGGUUACUACAGAAGUUUAGAUCAGCACAUCACAAAAAAAAGAUCAGUAAUGUACUACAAAAUCACAGACCAAAACACAAAAAUGUUUCUUUAGUAAGGAGUGACAUCCGUUCAUCCAUUCAAUAUAUUGAACAAUCUCAAACGAUGCAAUAUCCAAAGGUCAUCACCCAACCAUAGUAGGCAACCUUAUUCUUAUUAACUGUGUGUUUUCUCAUCUCUGAAUUGAUUCAAAUAUGCUAUGAAUUUGGUAGAUCAUCACCAUAUGUACAACUAAGUGCCAUAAGCAACUAGUACUAGUACUGUAAACUACACUAUUUGAAUCGGUUGUGUGCUUACACAUCUUCUUCUGCAGCUACAGCUAAUUGUGUACUCGCACUGCUGUUGUAUGAUGCUUCCUCAAUCUAAAUAUAAGAAAUAAAAUAAGUUAUGGGCAAAGGAAGUACACGAUGAGCUUAAUGUUAGGCAUACACAACCAGGUAAGGAAUUAUCCAGUAUUGCAUUGUAUGCAAAUAGAAAGUGGAGAAGCAAGUAGUAAAAAGAACAAGCUUCAGACUGUACCAACAUAGCAAGGCCGAUAACAUUAUAUUGAUAUUGCAAACCCAAUCUGCUACCUACAGUAAGCAGUCGACUAAUGCACCUACGUUUACGGAAUAAAACAGAGAAGACAAAAAAUACACUGACAAGUGUUCACAUGGAGAAAAAAUAUUACAGAAUAACAAAAUCAUGUUCUCUUUCACCGAGCAGUCUUAGCCCAUGAUAGGAGCCCUCAACAUAUUUUUAGCUUGUUAACUUUUAUCACAGAAUAUUAAUUUAUUGUCCCUAACUACUAAUAAAAGGCAAUUCCUAGUACCGUUUCAUUGUUAAAUGUUAAUACUCUGAACGUAGAGUCUAGUCACAUAUUAAAUGUUCUGGAGACUGCAUGAUCUUGCAGCUUAAAGGGGAAACGUGAGUUGAAAUUAUUCACUGUAGAAAUUUAGAGACAGGGAGGAACAUAUACGUAUAAACCAUACCUUUGAGAAGAGCAAAGGGCAUUGAUCUUACUCCUUAUCUAGAUGAAAUGCAACUAGGAAAAGGAGAUCUUAAAUAGGUGGUUAGAAGAAUCAAAUUACAGAUCAAAAAUCUUACAUCCGGAAAUUAUGGAAGAAAUAAGGAAGCAGCAAAAUAUACCCUCGAAUAGUUGGAAGGGGACCAGAUCUAAUGGUAUUGCAGGCAGCGGGGUUCCUUGCAUAGUUUCUCACCCAUCCCCUAGCCUCACUGCAUCAUCGGGUUGCCUCUUCCAAACCUGUUGUCUCCAGCCGCCGCCAUCUUGUUGGUCACUGGACGAAACCAAACUUCUAAAUCAGCAUCUAAUAUCAAGUAGUGGGUGAUGGAGGGGUGGCGAGGCAACGUCCAGAUCUUGGUAAAGCACGAGGUGAGAAAGGAAGCUGGGGAAG
This 2288-nucleotide long non-coding RNA is filed under the name Triticum aestivum (bread wheat). RNAcentral's name for it is "long non-coding RNA (TAES_LNC025200)". Lineage: Eukaryota; Viridiplantae; Streptophyta; Magnoliopsida; Poales; Poaceae. The record is from RNAcentral.